CAAUGGCUCAAGGAAGGUGGUGAAGCAUCAGAUACGCCUAUUGACAGUGUUGUGCAAAUAAGGAUGAAGCAAUUUAGAGCAAUGAACAAGCUGAAAAAGCUGGCUUUAAAGGUUAUUGCAGAAAACCUUUCAGAAGAAGAAAUCAAGGGGUUGAGACAAAUGUUCAACAACAUGGACAUGGAUAGAAGUGGUACCAUUACUUAUGAAGAGCUCAAAAUUGGGUUAUCUAGGUUGGGAUCCAAGCUUUCAGAAGAAGAAAUACAAGAAUUGAUGGAAGCUGUAAGCAACCCGCGACUAUGGAGGAGGUUCCUUGUGUUAACUCACACAUGGGGAACCAAAGGCUAAUUUUCCAUUUACUAAAAUAAUAGAUGAAUGUUGACUUGAACUCUAAGUUGAUGGUGGAUUGUAGUAAACCUGGCUAUGAAGCUCUUACAAGCUACUUCGAUUAU
Coffea arabica (coffee) is the source of this 449-nucleotide long non-coding RNA. RefSeq lists it as uncharacterized. The record is from RefSeq and is a predicted model, not a curated record. NCBI's taxonomy places the organism in Eukaryota, Viridiplantae, Streptophyta, Magnoliopsida, Gentianales, Rubiaceae.